CUGUGAAUUUUUGGUCGGCAGUGUGGCGUGUUCUUGUGGGGGAGUUUCAGCGUGGGAUACGAAUUAACUGCGCUUUCCUUCAACAAGGCGUUUUCCAACUCUAUCUCCUUAGAAGCGCGGACCUGGACUUUUGUUUGUGUUGACCAGGGCACCUAAG
Molecule: long non-coding RNA, 157 nt
Organism: Bufo bufo (common toad)
Lineage: Eukaryota; Metazoa; Chordata; Amphibia; Anura; Bufonidae
Exons: 3
Source: RefSeq, a predicted model, not a curated record